RNAcentral lists this transfer RNA (65 nucleotides) under Secretargas transgariepinus. RNAcentral's name for it is "Argas transgariepinus tRNA-Trp". The record is from RNAcentral. Lineage: Eukaryota; Metazoa; Arthropoda; Arachnida; Ixodida; Argasidae.
UAAGAUUUUAAGUUAAAAAAACUCAAUACCUUCAAAGUAUUAAUUAUCUUAAAGAUAAGUCUUAG